CGUGUAGGUGGAUUGGUGUGUCAGAUGUGAAAUCCCUGGGCUCAACCCAGGAACUGCACCUGAAACUACCAGUCUUGAGUGGUGGAGAGGGAAGUGGAAUUCCUGGUGUAGAGGUGAAAUUCGUAGAUAUCAGGAGGAACACCAGUGGCGAAGGCGGCUUCCUGGACACCAACUGACGCUGAGACGCGAAAGCGUGGGGAGCAAACA
This 207-nucleotide ribosomal RNA is filed under the name uncultured bacterium. RNAcentral's name for it is "partial 16S ribosomal RNA". It matches the Rfam family "Bacterial small subunit ribosomal RNA", at positions 568 to 774 of the family's 1533-position model. The record is from RNAcentral.